This is a non-coding RNA of Danio rerio (zebrafish), 438 nucleotides long. The record is from RefSeq and is a predicted model, not a curated record. Lineage: Eukaryota; Metazoa; Chordata; Actinopteri; Cypriniformes; Danionidae.
UGUGUGUGUGUGUGUGUAUAUCAGGUGUCAUGUGAUGACGGCGAGAGGUCAGCUGAUCGUAAAGUGACGUUUGAUGUGACCGAAUCAGAGAUGAGCAGUGUUUACAGCCCAGAGGGAACAGUUCCAGUGAAGGUGCAGCAGUUGGCCGACUCUCUGCAGCUGAUCUCAGGUCAGCUCAACUCUGUGUUAGGAGCUCUGAGUUCAGUAACACACAAACAAGCCCCGCCUCCUCUGACCACACCCCUGCUGCCCCGCCCCUCGUGGGCAUGGCCUACACACCCCUCCUCAGCCCUGUCAAAUGGACUCGCUCACAGACCCACAGAAUCAAUGCAGAACCGUUGGAGCGGCCUGAGCACAGAAACCAGCAGAACACACACAACCUUCUCAGGAUACACACCACUAAGGUGACAAACACACACACACACAGAAAGAUCAUAC